RNAcentral lists this small nuclear RNA (188 nucleotides) under Trifolium pratense (red clover). Its description in RNAcentral is "snRNA U2". It matches the Rfam family "U2 spliceosomal RNA". From Rfam's summary of the family: U2 is a small nuclear RNA (snRNA) component of the spliceosome (involved in pre-mRNA splicing). Complementary binding between U2 snRNA (in an area lying towards the 5' end but 3' to hairpin I) and the branchpoint sequence (BPS) of the intron results the bulging out of an unpaired adenosine, on the BPS, which initiates a nucleophilic attack at the intronic 5' splice site, thus starting the first of two transesterification reactions that mediate splicing. The record is from RNAcentral. Lineage: Eukaryota; Viridiplantae; Streptophyta; Magnoliopsida; Fabales; Fabaceae.
AUACCAUUCUCGGCCUUUUGGCUAAGAUCAAGUGUAGUAUCUGUUCUUAUCAGUUUAAUAUCUGGUAUGUGGGCCAAUGGUUCUCCUAAUAUAUUUUUUGAGGUGGAGAGUCCACCACAAUAGCUUGCUAUUGGCCUCUCAAGUGUCGCUUUUGUGUUGCACUAUUGCAAUUGCCUGGCACACCCCAU